This 496-nucleotide ribosomal RNA is filed under the name uncultured bacterium. RNAcentral describes it as "partial 16S ribosomal RNA". It matches the Rfam family "Bacterial small subunit ribosomal RNA", at positions 30 to 523 of the family's 1533-position model. The record is from RNAcentral.
AUUGAACGCUGGCGGUAGGCCUAACACAUGCAAGUCGAACGCGAAAGUCCUUCGGGAUGAGUAGAGUGGCGGACGGGUGAGUAACGCGUAGGAAUCUAUCCUGUAGUGGGGGAUAACGUUUCGAAAGGAACGCUAAUACCGCAUACGCCCCAAGGGGGAAAGCGGGGGAUCUUCGGACCUCGUGCUAUAGGAGGAGCCUGCGUCGGAUUAGCUAGUUGGUGAGGUAAAGGCUCACCAAGGCGACGAUCCGUAGCUGGUCUGAGAGGAUGAUCAGCCACACCGGAACUGAGACACGGUCCGGACUCCUACGGGAGGCAGCAGUGGGGAAUAUUGGACAAUGGGGGCAACCCUGAUCCAGCAAUGCCGCGUGAGUGAAGAAGGCCUUCGGGUUGUAAAGCUCUUUAGUGGGGGAGGAAGAGCUUGGUGGAAUAGACCAAGUGUUUGACGUUACCCCAAGAAUAAGCACCGGCUAACUCUGUGCCAGCAGCCGCGGUAA